AUUGAACGCUGGCGGCAGGCCUAACACAUGCAAGUCGAACGAGUGGCGGACGGGUGAGUAAUGUCUGGGAAACUGCCUGAUGGAGGGGGAUAACUACUGGACACGGUCGCUAAUACCGCAUACCAUCAGAUGUGCCCCGCUUUGAUUAGCUGGGUGGGGGGGUAAAGGCUCACCAAGGCGACGAUCCCUAGCUGGUCUGAGAGGAUGAACCGCCACAAUGGAACUGAGACACGGUCCAGACUCCUACGGGAGGCAGCAGUGGGGAAUAUUGGACAAUGGGCGCAAGCCUGAUGCAGCCAUGCCGCGUGUAUGAAGAAGGCCUUCGGGUUGUAAAGUACUUUCAGCGGGGAGGCGUUACCCGCAGAAGAAGCACCGGCUAACUCCGUGCCAGCAGCCGCGGUAAUUC
Molecule: ribosomal RNA, 406 nt
Filed under: uncultured bacterium
Lineage: Bacteria
Description: partial 16S ribosomal RNA
Rfam family: Bacterial small subunit ribosomal RNA
Source: RNAcentral